GUGGGUGUAGCUCAAUGGUAGAGUUCCAGAUUUCCAAUCUGGUUGUUUUUGCGAGUUCGAGCCUCGUCACCCACUCCA
RNAcentral lists this transfer RNA (78 nucleotides) under Caudoviricetes sp. RNAcentral describes it as "tRNA-Gly". It matches the Rfam family "tRNA". Rfam says of the family: Transfer RNA (tRNA) molecules are approximately 80 nucleotides in length. Their secondary structure includes four short double-helical elements and three loops (D, anti-codon, and T loops). Lineage: Duplodnaviria; Heunggongvirae; Uroviricota; Caudoviricetes. The record is from RNAcentral.